Rattus norvegicus (Norway rat) is the source of this 5191-nucleotide non-coding RNA. The record is from RefSeq and is a predicted model, not a curated record. Lineage: Eukaryota; Metazoa; Chordata; Mammalia; Rodentia; Muridae.
CCCGCCAUUCCCAGAGUAAAGACGUAACUGCAGAUAACGGGGUAACUGCGCAGACCAGCCUUACUGCGGAUAACUGCAGAUACCUGGAUAACAGCGCAGGCGGACCAUACUGCGGAUAACCACCGGUAACUGCACCGGCCAGCUGUACCAUGGAUAACCCGGUAACUUCGUAGGCUGGCCGUGCUACGGAUAACCAGGUAACUGCGCAAGCUGGCCGUGCCACGGAGGCUGGCCGUAAAGCGUAUAAUCUGGUAACUGCAGGCUGGCAGUACCAUGGAUAACCAACCCAGUAACUACGCAGGCCUAUUGUGCCACCGAUAAUCGGGUAACUACACAGGCUGGCCAUACUGCGGAUGACUGGAUAUCUGGGUAACUGAGCCGGCGGGUUGUAUCGCAGAUAACCGGAUGACCGGGUAACUGCGCAGACAGGCCAUACAGCGGAUAACUGGAUAAUCGGGUAACUGCGCAGGCUGGCCGCACCACAGAUAACUGGAUAACCGGGUAAUAGCGCAGGCUGACCGCAUCACGGAUAACUGGAUAACCGGGUAACUGCGCAAGCAGGCUGUACCGUGGAUAACCAGGUAACUGCGCAGCUGGCCGCACCACGGAUAACUGGAUAAACGGGUAACUGCGCAGGCAGGCUGUAAAGCAGAUAACCAGGCAACUGCGCAGGUCAGCCUUACGUGCCGCGGAUAACCGGGCAACUGCGCAGGCCAGCCUUACGUACUGCGGAUAACCGGGCAACUGCGUAGGCAGCUAGCGCAGCCCACAUUCCAACGCAAACACUGGACUUUGACUGCGCAUGCGCACAUGCAAGUACUGGUUGCUGCACUGCGCAAACACACCCGUGACUCAGCUGGUUCAAUUCUCUGGGCUGGUAAAAAGGAAAGUCAGCUGGGCUGGAUGGUGCCGUCCAGUAGUCACUGUUCAGGAACGUAACGAACAUUAAACAGCAGAACAACUUAGCAGUGGGCGACACUUUCAAUACAGCAUCGGAAAGAGAGGUUAUCGCGAGAUCCAGGAAGGGGCCCCGCGCUCAGAGGUAAAAUGGCAUCACAGCAGACCGCGUUUCCUGAGAAACUCAGCAGAAAACAAUACAAGGCUGCAAUGAAGAAGGAGAAACGCAAGAAACGUCGGCAGAAAAUGGCUCGCUUGAGAGCUCUGGAAGCCCCACCAGAGGUGGAGGAGGAGGAUGUUUCUGCCAAUGAAGAACUUGCAGAGAGAUUACUGGAGAUAGAGAGGCAAAAAUUACAUGAAGAGUGGCUGCUGAGGGAGGAGAAGGCACAAGAAGAAUUCAGAAUAAAGAAGAAAAAGGAGGAGGCUGCUAGAAAACAGAAGGAAGAACAGGAGAGACAAAUAAAGGCUGAAUGGGAAGAACAACAGAAAAAACAGAGAGAGGAGGAGGAGCAGAAGCUACAGGAGAAGAAAGAGAGAGAGGAAGCGGUGCAGAAAAUGCUGGACCAGGCUGAAAAUGAAGGCACUUGGCAGAACCCAGAACCACCCAAAGAUUUAAGGCUGGAGAAAUAUCGACCCAGUUGUCCCUUCUACAAUAAGACGGGAGCCUGCAGAUUUGGUAACAGGUGUUCACGGAAGCAUGACUUUCCCACGUCAAGUCCCACACUUCUUGUGAAGAGUAUGUUUACGACGUUUGGAAUGGAGCAGUGCAGAAGGGAUGACUACGACUCUGACGCAAACCUGGAGUACAGUGAGGAGGAGACCUACCAGCAGUUUUUGGAUUUCUACCACGACGUGCUGCCCGAGUUCAAGAACGUGGGAAAGGUGAUUCAGUUCAAAGUAAGCUGCAAUCUGGAACCUCAUUUGCGGGGCAAUGUGUAUGUUCAGUACCAGUCGGAAGAGGAAUGCCAAGCAGCCCUCUCUCUCUUUAAUGGAAGAUGGUACGCAGGACGACAGCUGCAGUGUGAAUUCUGUCCAGUGACCCGGUGGAAGGUUGCGAUUUGCGGUUUGUUCGAAAUGCAAAAGUGUCCGAAAGGAAAGCACUGCAACUUCCUCCAUGUGUUCAGAAACCCCAACAACGAGUUCAGAGACGCGAACAGGGACAUCUACCUGCCUCCGGCGAGCACUGGCUCCUCUGGUAAAAACUCAGACCGGGGGGACAGGAAGGAUCACCGAGAGGAAAGCUACAGCAAGUCAAGAAGCCACCACUCUGGCUCAUACCACUCCUCCAAGAGAAGCAGGGAGUCGGAGAGGAAGAGUCCUCACAGGUGGAAGAAAUCUCACAAACAGGCCACGAAGAGUCAUGAGCGGCACAGCUCAAGAAGAGGAAGAGAAGAGGGCAGCAGUCCAGGUCCGCAAAGCCAGAGCCACAGAACCUGAGCCCGGCUGAGGCGACACCACUUGGACCCGGGAUACAAAACUUCCUUACAGAAUAAAAACGUAACGCAGUAUUCUGAUUCCCCCAAGAUAUCCAAAGGAAACUGAUUACAAAGGAAAGGCAUGGUAACUCAGUCUAAUUCCCAAGGUACAAACGCUUGUGGCUUUAACAGAGACAGAACCAGGUAUUACUCUUUGUCUGUUAAAAUGCUUACAGUGCUGUUACAAUGCUUAGUAUCAUGUUAUUGGUGUUGUUUUCCACAGUUUAAGCUGGCUUCCCAUGUUUUCCUGUGAUAAGUUUACAUUGUGAUGCUUUAUCAUUAAUAUAUUUAUUAACAUCGUUUUUAUAUUGCUUGAGUUGGACAAAAUUCCCAAAUACAUAUCUCUGUUCUACAAAAAAGAACAUAUAGGAUUACAGAAACAGCAGUUUCCUCUCUUUUUAUAGACAGGCUCUCAACUGUGUAGCCCUGGCUGGCUUAUCAGCUGCUGGGGUCACAGAAAUGUACCACCUCCCAAAUCCAAUGGUAACUUUGUUACCUCAUGUUUGUGUGUGUGUAUGUGUGUGUGUGUGUGUCUGCAUCUGUGAACAUGUGUACACAAGUAUGGUAACCUCUGAGCCAUCUUUCCAGCUCAUAUUUUAAAUCCUAGAUCUCAUAAAUCUUGAGAACAAGUUAGUGAAAAUUUUAGGUUCUCUACCAAGCAACCAAUUUAAAGUAAUUUACACAUAUUAUUUCCAAAUACCAAUAUUGUAAAUUUAAGAAUAAAUGUUUAAGGUAAGAGAUAUCUCUAUGUAAAUGUUUAGAUUUGAAAUACUUUAGGCUCUUAACAUCAAAUACUAUCUGUCACAGCCUCUGUAACUAUAUUGCCAACAACUGCUAAAGAUAGGAAGCAGAUGAUGACCGUGCUCCCAUGUUGUGACAAAGCUUUAUCCAAUCACGGACAGGGAGGAAUGUCGCUGGGCUGCAGAGCACUUGCCAGCAUUCCUGGGCGCAGUUAAAGACCCAGGAAUAGCAAACAAUAAAACCAGUAAGGAUGGGAAUGAAUACAGUGAGGAAUGGAAUGGGAGCACUGGGCCAGCCCAGCCCUGCAGCCAGAUGCCCGCCUCUCACUGCAGGUUACAUUUCUGUUCUCCCUCACAUCGCCCAAGCUAGCUCUAAACUCCUGUCUGAGAUUCCCAACAGCUGGGACACAGGCAUAUGCCACUGUGCCCAACCUUUUCAAUGCAACUGGCACAUUUAAGCACUGCCCAUUUAUUCAAAUGUUUUACAAAUCUUUACUGAGUGCCUAUCACAUGCUGGAAAGAAGUAUUAAGGGUAGGAAAAUAAUAACGUUGGCCUUUUUUACAAAUGAACAAGCUAGUAAGUACAGUACCAAAAUUCAGGUAGUAUUAAUUCUUCAAAGCAAAUUACAAAUGUGAGCUCAAAGAAUUAUAUAAGAAGUAGACAGUAUGCUGUGACUGGUGGGGCAUACCUUGGGGGGAUCUCUAAAUCUGUGGCCAGUUUGAUCUCAUAGUGAGUCCCCAGCACAUAGUGAUAAUCCAUUUCAAAAACCAGUAAAUAGAGGCUGGAGAGACGGCUCAGUGCUUAAGAGCACUAGCUACACGUACUGUGACUACUUUAUGAAUUUUACAACUCCUUGGGCACUACCCAGAAAUCAAAACUGGAGUGGGGCAGCAGAACAGUCCACUGGAUAAAGAUGCAUGUGCCAAGUCUGAGGACGUGGGUUUGGUCCCCGAGCCUACACGGGAGAAGGAGAGAGCUGACUCCAUAAUCCUGACGUCCACAUGCACACCAUGGUGUACUAGUGUUAGUCAAUGAAUGGGCUGCUUCACGUAUCCAUGAACAGUUUAACAGGCAAUAGAGUGCCGAUGUCCCAAACAAGGAAAGUGAAGGACUCCGCUGUCCAUAGAAGAGAGCAUUCAGUACAAAUGUCAGAAAGACAUAGCAUUUGGAAACAAUGUGAAAGUUAGGAACCUGAAACGCCCUGCACAACAAAUUGCCAGGUAGUUGGCGAUCAGAAAACCGGUACACCUGGGCUUGGGCUUGGGCUUAGCUCAGCACUGCGACCUUACCCAGUGAGCACUAGAUCCUGGGUGUGCUCCUCGAGAUAUCAAAACCAGGAGCCUGUUAAUGGAAAGACCCACUGUAUCCUCUAGGAGGUCCACAUCGUCCCCUCACGUUCGUCCUCUGGCCUUUGUAUCUCCCUUUUCCAUUUCUAUGCAGAACAUGAUUUUCUAGGUGACAACACAGUCUACUACCGCCCACGUGUAAGUGUGUAGCCUGUGUCAAAGCAGGAGUGCUAGAGGAAUAAAGGCUCACACGCAUUCCUUACUAUGUCCCUCUCACUGUGAUCAAGUUGGAUGGUUCACCAUUCCGUGUGUGUGUGUGUGUGUGUGUGUGUGUGUGUGUGAAUGUGUAUGCAUGCACACAUUCACACAUUCACACUGUGACUGUAGGAGCUUGUCUGUGCCAGUGUACAUACAGAAGUCAGAACAACCUCUGGUGUUUGUCCUUACCUUCUACUGAAUUUGAGAUGGGGUUUGUCUUUCCACUGUAUAUGCCAGGCUAGCUGGCCCUAAACUUCUAGAAUUUUCCUAUUUCCACCUCCCAUCUCCUCACAGAAGUGUGUACAAACUGCAGACACACUAUAUGAUCAAUUUUUUGUUUUUUUUUAAUUUAUUUUAUGGGGCUGAAGAGAUGGCUCAGUGGUUAACAGCACUGGCUGCUCUUCCAGAGGUUCUGAGUUCAAUUCCCAGCAACCACAUGGUGGCUCACAACCAUCUGUAAUGGGAUCUGAUGCCGUCUUCUGGUGUGUAUUAAGAGUACUCAUACACAUAAAAUAAAUACAUCUUUUGUAAAAA